This 554-nucleotide ribosomal RNA is filed under the name Bifidobacterium longum. Its description in RNAcentral is "bacterial SSU rRNA". It matches the Rfam family "Bacterial small subunit ribosomal RNA", at positions 145 to 711 of the family's 1533-position model. Lineage: Bacteria; Bacillati; Actinomycetota; Actinomycetes; Bifidobacteriales; Bifidobacteriaceae. The record is from RNAcentral.
UUCUCCUGGGAAAAAGGGUGGUAAUGCCGGAUGCUCCAGUUGAUCGCAUGGUCUUCUGGGAAAGCUUUCGCGGUAUGGGAUGGGGUCGCGUCCUAUCAGCUUGACGGCGGGGUAACGGCCCACCGUGGCUUCGACGGGUAGCCGGCCUGAGAGGGCGACCGGCCACAUUGGGACUGAGAUACGGCCCAGACUCCUACGGGAGGCAGCAGUGGGGAAUAUUGCACAAUGGGCGCAAGCCUGAUGCAGCGACGCCGCGUGAGGGAUGGAGGCCUUCGGGUUGUAAACCUCUUUUAUCGGGGAGCAAGCGAGAGUGAGUUUACCCGUUGAAUAAGCACCGGCUAACUACGUGCCAGCAGCCGCGGUAAUACGUAGGGUGCAAGCGUUAUCCGGAAUUAUUGGGCGUAAAGGGCUCGUAGGCGGUUCGUCGCGUCCGGUGUGAAAGUCCAUCGCUUAACGGUGGAUCCGCGCCGGGUACGGGCGGGCUUGAGUGCGGUAGGGGAGACUGGAAUUCCCGGUGUAACGGUGGAAUGUGUAGAUAUCGAAAAAAAACACCA